CGAUUUGCUGCGGGCAAAUAUAGUGAAUGUGUGAAUCCACCCCACCUGCGGUUAAGAUCUGGCCCUCACCAGCAAUCACUUCGGUUCCAGGACCGACGACGAUGUUUACCCCGUCUUGCACGUCGGGGUUUCCGGCCUUGCCGAUGACAGCAAUAAAGCCAUUUUUCAAUCCCACAUCAGCCUUGACGAUCCCCCAGUGAUCGAGGAUCACGCAGUUGGUGAUCACGGUAUCGACCGACUCGGUGCAGCUGACCUGCGACUGACCCAUGCCGUCGCG
RNAcentral lists this small RNA (277 nucleotides) under marine eukaryotic metagenome. RNAcentral's name for it is "5' ureB small RNA". It matches the Rfam family "5' ureB small RNA". The record is from RNAcentral.